UACGGAGGGUGCAAGCGUUAUCCGGAUUUACUGGGUUUAAAGGGUGCGCAGGCGGAUAUGUAAGUCAGUGGUGAAAUCUCCGGGCUUAACCCGGAAAUUGCCGUUGAUACUAUAUAUCUUGAAUGUUGUGGAGGUAAGCGGAAUAUGUCAUGUAGCGGUGAAAUGCUUAGAUAUGACAUAGAACACCUAUUGCGAAGGCAGCUUACUACGCAGAUAUUGACGCUCAUGCACGAAAGCGUGGGGAUCAAACAGG
RNAcentral lists this ribosomal RNA (253 nucleotides) under uncultured bacterium. Its description in RNAcentral is "partial 16S ribosomal RNA". It matches the Rfam family "Bacterial small subunit ribosomal RNA", at positions 524 to 776 of the family's 1533-position model. The record is from RNAcentral.